GUUGAUAAGGUUAAGUGAAUAAGGGCGCACGGUGGAUGCCUUGGCACUAGGAGCCGAUGAAGGACGGGACUAACACCGAUAUGCUUUGGGGAGCUGUACGUAAGCUAUGAUCCAGAGAUUUCCGAAUGGGGGAACCCAGCAUCUUUUAUAGGAUGUUACGUUUGCGUGAAUACAUAGCGCAUUCGAGGUAGACGCAGAGAACUGAAACAUCUAAGUACCUGCAGGAAGAGAAAGAAAAUUCGAUUCCCUGAGUAGCGGCG
Molecule: ribosomal RNA, 260 nt
Filed under: Enterococcus hirae
Lineage: Bacteria; Bacillati; Bacillota; Bacilli; Lactobacillales; Enterococcaceae
Description: partial 23S ribosomal RNA
Rfam family: Bacterial large subunit ribosomal RNA
Source: RNAcentral